GACGAACGCUGGCGGCGUGCUUAACACAUGCAAGUCGAGCGAGAGCCAGCUGAGGGGUAACCCUCGGCUGGGGACAGCGGCGAACGGGUGCGUAACACGUGGGCAACCUGCCCCUGACACUGGGAUAACCCCGGGAAACCGGAGCUAAUACCGGAUACUCUCGGCCGAUCACAUGGCUGGCCGAGGAAAGGUCCGCCGGUCAGGGAUGGGCCCGCGGCCUAUCAGCUUGUUGGGGGGUAACGGCCUACCAAGGCGACGACGGGUAGCUGGUCUGAGAGGACGACCAGCCACACUGGAACUGAGAUACGGUCCAGACUCCUACGGGAGGCAGCAGUGGGGAAUAUUGCACAAUGGGCGAAAGCCUGACGCAGCGACGCCGCGUGAGGAUGACGGCCU
RNAcentral lists this ribosomal RNA (396 nucleotides) under uncultured bacterium. Its description in RNAcentral is "bacterial SSU rRNA". It matches the Rfam family "Bacterial small subunit ribosomal RNA", at positions 28 to 417 of the family's 1533-position model. The record is from RNAcentral.